UAACGCAUUAAGCACUCCNCCUGGGGAGUACGACCGCAAGGUUGAAACUCAAAGGAAUUGACGGGGGCCCGCACAAGCGGUGGAGCAUGUGGUUUAAUUUGAAGCAACGCGAAGAACCUUACCAGGUCUUGACAUCCCUNUGACCGCUCUAGAGAUAGAGUUUUCCUUCGGGACAGAGGUGACAGGUGGUGCAUGAUUGUNGUCAGCUCGUGUCGUGAGAUGUUGGGUUAAGUCCCGCAACGAGCGCAACCCCUAUUGUUAGUUGCCAUCAUUUAGUUGGGCACUCUAGCGAGACUGCCGGUAAUAAACCGGAGGAAGGUGGGGAUGACGUCAAAUCAUCAUGCCCCUUAUGACCUGGGCUACACACGUGCUACAAUGGNUGGUACAACGAGUCGCAAGCCGGUGACGGCAAGNUAAUCUCUUAAA
Molecule: ribosomal RNA, 426 nt
Filed under: uncultured bacterium
Lineage: Bacteria
Description: bacterial SSU rRNA
Rfam family: Bacterial small subunit ribosomal RNA
Source: RNAcentral